This 849-nucleotide ribosomal RNA is filed under the name uncultured bacterium. RNAcentral describes it as "bacterial SSU rRNA". It matches the Rfam family "Bacterial small subunit ribosomal RNA", at positions 96 to 953 of the family's 1533-position model. The record is from RNAcentral.
UGGCAAACGGGUGCGUAACACGUAAGUGACCUAUCCUUCAGUGGGGGACAACCCCGCGAAAGCGGGGCUAAUACCGCAUAUGGUGCGGGGUAUAGACGCCCAGCACUAAAGGCCCGAGCAAUCGGGCCGCUGGAAGAGGGGCUUGCGGCCGAUUAGCUAGUUGGUGAGGUAACGGCCCACCAAGGCGACGAUCGGUAGCUGGUCUGAGAGGACGGCCAGCCACACUGGGACUGAGACACGGCCCAGACUCCUACGGGAGGCAGCAGCAAGGAAUAUUGCGCAAUGGGCGAAAGCCUGACGCAGCGACGCCGCGUGAGGGAUGAAGGCCUUCGGGUCGUAAACCUCUUUUACCAGGGACGAAUAAUGACGGUACCUGGGGAAUAAGCCUCGGCCAACUACGUGCCAGCAGCCGCGGUAAUACGUAGGAGGCGAGCGUUAUCCGGAUUUACUGGGCGUAAAGCGGGCGCGGGUGGCUGUUUAAGUCCGGGGUGAAAUCUCUUGGCUUAACUGAGAGGGGUCCUCGGAUACUGAAUGGCUUGAGGGCAGCAGAGGGAGGUGGAAUUCCCGGUGUAGCGGUGAAAUGCGCAGAUAUCGGGAGGAACACCAGUGGCGAAGGCGGCCUCCUGGGCUGUCCCUGACACUGAGGCCCAAAAGCGUGGGGAGCGAACCGGAUUAGAUACCCGGGUAGUCCACGCCCUAAACUAUGGACACUAGGUAUGGGGAGUAUCGACCCUUUCCGUGCCGAAGCUAACGCUUUAAGUGUCCCGCCUGGGUAGUACGGCCGCAAGGCUAAAACUCAAAGGAAUUGACGGGGGCCUGCACAAGCAGCGGAGCGUGUGGUUCAAUUCG